CUCUUCAGCGAUUCGACGUUCGACGCGGCGAUCUACUUCGGCCACGCGCUGUGGCCCGGCACGCAGGGGCGGCUGCUGUUCCUCGAAGGCGACAUGCUGCCCGUCUGCAGCCCGGCGCUGCUGGGCGCGAACGGGCGGCGCAUCACGCGCGACGCGCUGCUCGAUCUGCCGCUGCUGCACCUGUCGACGCGCGCGGACGCGUGGCGCGACUGGUUUCGCGCGCAAGGCCUCGACAACGAUCUGCGCGCGGUGCGCGGCCCGCGCUACGAGCUGUUCACGAUGCUGACGGCGGCCGCGCACGCGGGCAUGGGCGUCGCGCUGAUGCCGGCGCUGCUCGUCGCGGACGAGCUCGCAUCGGGCCGCCUUUGCGCGCCGCUCGACCUGCGGCUGCCGAGCGACGCCGGCUAUUACCUCGUCGCGCCGGACGCGGCCGCCGACAGCGAGCCGUUCGUCGCGUUGGCCGAAUGGCUGGGUUCCGUCUCGCCGGCGCGGCCGAUAAGCUGACGCGACGCUCCUGUUCAUCCGUUCAUCGGCCGGCGGCAGGCCGGCCACGCGAGACCGACCAUGACCAUUCGCAUCGACGACAUCGUGCCGCUGUCCAUCGCACGCGCGCGCUUUUCCGAGCUGGCGGACGACGCGCGGGACGGCGGCGAGAAGAUCAUCACGAAGAACGGCGCGGCGUAUGUCGCGCUGAUCGACGCGAGACGGCUCGAUCACUAUCAUCGGCUCGAGCGCGAGCGGGCGGAAUGCGCCUGCGCGGCGCUACUGCACGGCGGCGGCGGCGAUGGUCGCGAUAGCGACGAUAGGGGCAAUGGAGGCGACGCAGCCUGUGACGCAGCCCGCGGCGGCGGACGCGACAGUCCGGACGGCCGUGGCGCCGCGAUCGCCGCCGGGCGGGAGACGGGUGCGGCGAAUGCAACGGAUGCAACGGGUGCGCCGGGGACGAUGGGCGCGAUGGCUGCACCGUGCGAUAGCGACGGCGCCGAUGCGCUCGCCCCCGAUGCGCCGUCGGCCGAGCGGCGCGCCGGACCCGAUUGAGACCUCGGCGGUCUGGGCAUCGACGGCGGAGCACGGCCGACGCGCGUGGCGCAUCCGGCCGCGCGCAUCGCGAACGGACGAACGCGCCGCAUCCGCCGCGCCGCCGGCGCCGGCGCCGUGCACGAUACGCGGCGCGCCCGCGUCCAUCCGUGCAGACGCGGCUUCCUCGCAGGCAAGACAACCGAUACGAUAAUCCGCUCAUCCGCUCUCGAGCGGCCCGCACGGUCCCAACGACAUCCGCAUGCAGAACUACUACGAAGCCACGGUCACGCGCACGCCCUACCCCGCGCUCGCCGAACGCAUCGAUACCGACGUGUGCAUCGUCGGCGGCGGCCUGGCCGGCCUGUCGACAGCCCUCGGG
Molecule: ribosomal RNA, 1399 nt
Filed under: Burkholderia mallei 2002721280
Lineage: Bacteria; Pseudomonadati; Pseudomonadota; Betaproteobacteria; Burkholderiales; Burkholderiaceae
Description: 16S ribosomal RNA
Source: RNAcentral